Molecule: ribosomal RNA, 562 nt
Filed under: uncultured Caldimonas sp.
Lineage: Bacteria; Pseudomonadati; Pseudomonadota; Betaproteobacteria; Burkholderiales; Sphaerotilaceae
Description: bacterial SSU rRNA
Rfam family: Bacterial small subunit ribosomal RNA
Source: RNAcentral
GGCGAACGGGUGAGUAAUACAUCGGAACGUGCCCAGUAGUGGGGGAUAGCCCGGCGAAAGCCGGAUUAAUACCGCAUACGACCUACGGGUGAAAGCGGGGGAUCGCAAGACCUCGCGCUAUUGGAGCGGCCGAUGUCAGAUUAGGUUGUUGGUGAGGUAAAAGCUCACCAAGCCGACGAUCUGUAGCUGGUCUGAGAGGACGACCAGCCACACUGGGACUGAGACACGGCCCAGACUCCUACGGGAGGCAGCAGUGGGGAAUUUUGGACAAUGGGGGCAACCCUGAUCCAGCCAUGCCGCGUGCGGGAAGAAGGCCUUCGGGUUGUAAACCGCUUUUGUCAGGGAAGGAAUCUUUUGGGCUAAUACCCCAGAGGGAUGACGGUACCUGAAGAAUAAGCACCGGCUAACUACGUGCCAGCAGCCGCGGUAAUACGUAGGGUGCAAGCGUUAAUCGGAAUUACUGGGCGUAAAGCGUGCGCAGGCGGUUGUGCAAGACAGGUGUGAAAUCCCCGGGCUUAACCUGGGAACUGCACUUGUGACUGCACAGCUGGAGUACGGCAGA